GGUUAAGCGACUAAGCGUACACGGUGGAUGCCCUGGCAGUCAGAGGCGAUGAAGGGCGUGCUAAUCUGCGAUAAGCGCCGGUAAGGUGAUAUGAACCGUUAUAACCGGCGAUACCCGAAUGGGGAAACCCAGUGUGACUCGUCACACUAUCAUUAACUGAAUCCAUAGGUUAAUGAGGCGAACCGGGGGAACUGAAACAUCUAAGUACCCCGAGGAAAAGAAAUCAACCGAGAUUCCCCCAGUAGCGGCGAGCGAACGGGGAGGAGCCCAGAGCCUGAAUCAGCAUAUGUGUUAGUGGAAGCGUCUGGAAAGGCGCGCGAUACAGGGUGACAGCCCCGUACACAAAAGCGCAUGUGCUGUGAGCUCGAUGAGUAGGGCGGGACACGUGGUAUCCUGUCUGAAUAUGGGGGGACCAUCCUCCAAGGCUAAAUACUCCUGACUGACCGAUAGUGAACCAGUACCGUGAGGGAAAGGCGAAAAGAACCCCGGCGAGGGGAGUGAAAAAGAACCUGAAACCGUGUACGUACAAGCAGUGGGAGCACAGGUUUACCUGUGUGACUGCGUACCUUUUGUAUAAUGGGUCAGCGACUUAUAUUCUGUAGCAAGGUUAACCGAAUAGGGGAGCCGGAGGGAAACCGAGUCUUAAUUGGGCGUUAAGUUGCAGGGUAUAGACCCGAAACCCGGUGAUCUAGCCAUGGGCAGGUUGAAGGUUGGGUAACACUAACUGGAGGACCGAACCGACUAAUGUUGAAAAAUUAGCGGAUGACCUGUGGCUGGGGGUGAAAGGCCAAUCAAACCGGGAGAUAGCUGGUUCUCCCCGAAAGCUAUUUAGGUAGCGCCUCGUGAA
RNAcentral lists this ribosomal RNA (847 nucleotides) under Salmonella enterica. Its description in RNAcentral is "partial 23S ribosomal RNA". It matches the Rfam family "Bacterial large subunit ribosomal RNA", at positions 1 to 888 of the family's 2925-position model. Lineage: Bacteria; Pseudomonadati; Pseudomonadota; Gammaproteobacteria; Enterobacterales; Enterobacteriaceae. The record is from RNAcentral.